UACGAGGGGGGCGAGCGUUGUUCGGAAUUAUUGGGCGUAGAGGGUGCGUAGGCGGUUUGGUAAGUCUGAUGUGAAAUCUAUGGGCUCAACUCAUAGUCUGCAUCGGAAACUGCCGGGCUUGAGUAUGGGAGAGGUGAGUGGAAUUCCUGGUGUAGCGGUGAAAUGCGUAGAUAUCAGGAGGAACACCAAUGGCGAAGGCAGCUCGCUGGGACGGUACUGACGCUGAGACGCGAAAGCGUGGGGAGCAAACAGG
Molecule: ribosomal RNA, 253 nt
Filed under: uncultured bacterium
Lineage: Bacteria
Description: partial 16S ribosomal RNA
Rfam family: Bacterial small subunit ribosomal RNA
Source: RNAcentral